GGAAAACAUUCCAUUUCAACGGCUUUCCCUCCCCAUGUGCUACAUACUAAAUCAGUGCUACGGUUUACUUCCACUUGGAGAAAAUGAAGAUAGCAGAGAAGGAAAGGAAAGUAAAAGUCAUGUAAAAGUGGGUCUGGAGUAAACAACAGAAGAACUGAGCUAUUUCUGAAAGAACAUGACCACCUUCAAAACAGAUUUCAAAAUACAACAUCCAUGAGUCCGCAGGAGACCUGCUCACAGAUGGCAUCUGUAAUUUACAGGAAGAUGAUGCUGACACUGGCUUAACCAUGCACUUAGCACACCACAGUUACAGUGAAAAUCCAAUUUUCUGCCAAAAGUGGGAAAUAAAUGAAGCCGUAAGUGU
Molecule: non-coding RNA, 364 nt
Organism: Macaca mulatta (Rhesus monkey)
Lineage: Eukaryota; Metazoa; Chordata; Mammalia; Primates; Cercopithecidae
Source: RefSeq, a predicted model, not a curated record